Molecule: ribosomal RNA, 282 nt
Filed under: uncultured bacterium
Lineage: Bacteria
Description: partial 16S ribosomal RNA
Rfam family: Bacterial small subunit ribosomal RNA
Source: RNAcentral
AGUUACCUACGGGAGGCAGCAGUGAGGAAUAUUGGUCAAUGGACGAGAGUCUGAACCAGCCACGUAGCGUGAAGGAUGACUGCCCUAUGGGUUGUAACCUUCUUUUAUAUGGGAAUAAAACAGGGUAUGCAUACCCUCUUGUAUGUACCAUAUGAAUAAGGAUCGGCUAACUCCGUGCCAGCAGCCGCGGUAAUACGGAGGAUCCGAGCGUUAUCCGGAUUUAUUGGGUUUAAAGGGAGCGUAGGUGGAUUGUUAAGUCAGUUGUGAAGGUUUGCGGCUCAA